Molecule: long non-coding RNA, 5176 nt
Organism: Halichondria panicea
Lineage: Eukaryota; Metazoa; Porifera; Demospongiae; Suberitida; Halichondriidae
Exons: 3
Source: RefSeq, a predicted model, not a curated record
GUUUCAUGCACACACACACAUGCACACACACACACACACACGCACACGCACACACACAAACUUCCCAGAGCUCAGCCAUUUCCAGUCGGACACCUUUAUUAUAUUCUCCUAUAGUGCCCUAGUGGCUGAGUUACAUUAUGACUCGGGCGGGGAUUACGGGAAUGGAUGGUGAGGGGUAUGCAGCUGCUCGAUUUUCUAGAGAGAGAGAAAGAGAGAGUGAACUAUCGUUUUUUUGUGGCUCAAAUUGUUGGUAUUCCACUCACAAGUACACCCUCAACAGGUUCACUAUCACCACUGGUUACUGAACAAGACAAAUGAGAUGAUGCUUGAGAUCGAGUGCAGGGCACUGUCUGAGUCAUGUAUUCAGGUGGAAUCUGGUCCCGCUCUAUUCGGAUUAGCGAAGAUCUACUACAGGGGGACCAGACAGCAUCACGCGAGCACAAAUAUUUCUGCUGAGUCAGGCAAGUUUUUUACGUUGAGUUCAAUGUGAAAUUUGUCAACUAAAUUACUCAUUAUAGGCCACACCAAAUUGAUCUUAUGUUUCACGGACUUUUAAUCUCCAAAAACAGACCAGGGUGGCAGGAAAAAAAUUGAUGAAUAUCAUUAUAAAACCACAAACAGAGUCACAACACACCACAAAAAGUCACUUUAGCGCAAAACAUUACAACAUUUUGCUAGAUCACAUGGCUAUUCUGACCUCUGACAUGACCACUAAUUGGUUAAUUUUUUGGGGCAUUCUGCAAAAAUAUGACCCGAAAAUCUGUGAAACAUAAGAUUAAUUUGGUGUGGCCUUAUAGUUCCUCAAACUUCUAGGGAGUGUAUAGCUUCCCAGUACUAUAUAUAGAAGUACCUUGCCCAGACCGGCUGUGAUGCUGCACAAGCUGAUCAUGAGAGUUAUCGACAGUAGAAUCUUCUUAGCUCAUGCAGUCUGUGUGACCAGUAUCGUAGCGCACAAACCUUGCUUACAAUCUCAAGGAUAGCUUCAACUGUGGUACAGGGGCUUGCAAAACCUCCUUUCUAUAAACCGAUUUCCCCCAUUUUAACAUGACACACUUUAACACUCCUAAGACUAUUGGACAGUUUGGAAUGAGACUAAGAAUUUAAGUAACAGUUCAUCUUUGUCCGACCCCCCCCCGGCCCCGUAGCUAUAUAAAGUAACGAUUUAAACUGCAGAAAAACUACUAUGCAAACAGUUUGGCCUCGAAUUCGAAUUCUUGCCUAUAAUUUAUAAUUAUAGCGCAAAGUAAAACAAUAAACAUAAUGACAGAGAGCCAACAAUUGAAAUGAGGAUGUACAUGACACUCAAACUCACUAGUGCAUUGGACGCUUUGUUUUCUACAUUCUCUUCCUUUUCAGACAUUGUUCUGAAGUGCUCAAACAAUUGUUUCUGGUUAUACAGAUGAUAAAGAUGAUUGCCAAAAGAAAUAUUACAGAACGAUAGUCACGAUGUUACCAAAAAGGCCAUUGCCAUUUUUGCCUUUUUGUAGUCGAGUUAUCAAAUUUCUCCCUUUUCGCACAUAUCCAAAAGGCGAGCGUUCACUAAUCAACUUUUUUUCAUCGCCGGCUCUAUAAUGCAAAAAGCAAAUUUAAGAAAUUAGCAUCACAAUAAUUAUUAUAAUACUCAUCUAUGAUUUACUCAUUUGGUUCUUAUUACAACUAUUCCACUUAUUAAACUGUGUUCUAGAUGUUCGAAUUAAAUUCUUGGUCCAUUUUCGUGCACUCAUUUCACAUUCUCAUUCACAACCCUCAUCACGCUUCUGCUGUCAUGAUAUUCUAUGCAAUUAUUGUUGUUGUGUUCGUUGUUGCAUAUAGGACUACGUAUGUAUAACAACCUUGUUUACUGUUACAAGAGAUGUUCAAAAAAGAAAAGGCGCAUGAAAAAAAUCAAGAUGCAAUGUUAUUUACGCACAUUUUUUCGUAUUCAGAUUCCCAAACAUUCUUACUAAUGGUGAUCAAGGUGCUUUAACUAAAAUUAAUGUACAAAUAAGAACAACUAUAUAUAGAGCACUGAAGUGCAAACCCUCGGCGUUAAUUUGAGGUUUAGUGAGCCUACAGUCUCGAGUCAAAGCCUCGUGUACAUCUAGGUUCGAGCUUUUUAGCUUCUAAGCGACGAUGAAACUUUAACAUCAAAAUCUACCUCGUUGUGUUGAGGCUGCAUCCAUGGUACAAACACAUGCAGUGCUAUCACAUCCAGGUGAGUAGACUCAGACAGACAGACAGACUGGCCGCGACUACUAUACUACGUGGCGCCGCGGGUUAAUAAUGGUGAUGGUAAAACGCCAAGCAUGGUUGACAUGGAAUCGACAAAUAGUGCAUGUAGGUGCAAACAUUAGAGUUGGAUAAGUGGAAAGGCCUGAAGAAAAGCAAGUCGAAACGCCAAAUGAGCACACUUCUUUGAUAAAAAAUCGAAUUCUCAACAUUCUACUGGUUGUGAUCAAGCGGAAGGUACAACAAGCAGGAACAAUAGUGGUAUAUUGGUGAUUUGACAAGCCCGGUUACAGAUAUUGCAGAUCAGAGCGCUACCGGUAGUAACUAUAUAAAAACCUCAGCGCAUGCAAGCAAACUCUUUAUGAGGGUGUUCUACAGGUGUUCGGUGUGGUUCGACCCACUGUUGCCAUGAUAAUGAGUAAUGUUCAUGGUUCCUCUGUUAGCAUAAUUAUGAUAUCCACAUGUAUAUAAUAUAAAAUUAUACAUAAUUAUGUAUAAUUAUGUGGCCAAGCAAAUUGAUUCUUAACAGCUUGUUACGACAUGCAGUAGCAUUUUUUUGCAGUGUAGUAUUGUCGUUUAUUUUUGGAAAAUGUUCAUGGCGCUUGCAUGUACUAUGGUUGAGGCUUGAUGUAGUUGUUGUCACAUGCAUUAUUCAUGGCAUGAACUUCGAUUUGCUGUGUACUUGUCCAAUCUUUAAUUUUGUAGUGUGCAUAGGAAUGCAUGCAUGCAUAUACCAUAGUCAACUUAUAAUAACGCUCUUAAAAUAACAUGGCCACAAAUCAGUUGACAAUUCAUUUUUAAUGGCAUGCACGUGCUGUUUAGCCUAUACCCACCCAUACAGUGUGUAUUCACGGGAUGUUAGUUUGGUGUUAUAUCCAUGAAUGAUUGUAUAUAUUUUACCAUGGAAAUGGUGUGAUUUGAACAUGCAACUAUAAUGCUCACAAAGAAAUUAGCCAGGCUGAGUGUUAAGAUAAUCUAUAAUCUUCUAUAGACUAAAGCCAAUAUGAGAUAUUUAGCUAACGUGAUUUUUGUCAUCAGUCUUGCUUCAUAUGCGAAUUCCCUACCUCUUGGAAAUGCUACAGAUGGUGCGGGUGUAGCAAAUACAUUUGGCUGCGAGCCAGGAGAAAUUAAGUGCUCGAAAUGCUUUCAUGUGCUCGUUAACGAAAUUAUAUCAAGUGAUCGAAAUCGAUACAACUUGCAGCGUGCCUUCUUCCCAUCCGAUACAUCAAACCCAGUUUUUAUUGCAGUGACAUACUACUUUACAAGAAACAUGUCUGGAAAUGGCUCCACUGAUUAUUCUCUAACCUCUCCCAACCAAACCUGGUUUUGGACUCAGUCCACUUUCUACUUGUUCCAACCAGUUGAAUCUCUCCAAUAUACAUCUCUCCUGUUUUCUGAUCCAUCCCUACGCGAGUCAAAUGUUUCCUUGUAUCUCGAACCGAAUUGUAUGGAAACUGAUCCCGAUAUGCUCAAGCUUCUCACCCAAAGGCUAAAACUCUAUGCCAUGGAACAAAAAGUUUCUGCCCGUAUUUCUGAUGUGUACGAUGCAAAAGGAGAGAGUCGCAAAACACUGGAAACCUUCUAUAAAGGACAAAAUCCGCUAGUCAUCCAGGGGAAACAUUUAACAAGAUAUACGAUAAGUUUUCAUGUAGUUUUUCCAGUAUUAGUAAUCGUAUUUUUAGGAUUUUUGUUCCAUCACUUAAUUGAGAACUACAAAAUAAAUUUUUUUCACCAUUUUCGAGUAAAAUUUGGUAGCACUGGUGACGAUAAUACAAAUAAGGCAAAUGACGAUAAUGCAGAUGACGAAAGAAAAUGGAAGCCAAACAUUUCCUCAAAAAAUUUGUACAUUUAUAUCGCUGUAUUUGGUUCUUUGACCUUUAUCGUAUAUGUACUUGUCUUAGAUUGCUUGGCUGUGGGUUAUAGAAAUACAAGAGAGCUUGGAGACAUUUUCUUCAAGCAAACGACACGUGAUCAGUUUAACAAUGAAAGUGUAUUCUAUUUCGAAGCUGAGUACGCAAUCCCACACAUAAUGUUUGCCUAUGAUAUGUUCAUCUGUCUAGCAGUUCUUUUUGGGCUAACCUGUGUCUGCUGUGGAUUGAAAAAGAGUUGGUACUAUGUUCUGCUUGGACCUUGUUCCUGUGUUGUUGUUCAUUCUUACCAUAUUCUUGUCGGCUACAUACACGCUCCUCAUCAUGCUUCUGCCAUUCUCAUAUUUUACGCAAUUUCUGUUCUUGUAUUUGUUGUGACAUACCGAACUGCGUACUACAAUAUUGUGCAAUGUGCUAAGUGUUGUAAAAAAGGUGAUGCUAUGUGCUGUGACUGUUGGAAAAAAAGGUUUAAUAGUGUAGACAAAGAUUCUGGUGGCAACUGUUGUAUCAGUAGAAAGUUUACUUAUUGGGAAGCUGGUUUUGGUAAAUCUCUGAUACACAAUUGUUUAUUGUGUAUGUUGGUGGUGUUAUCGUUAAUUAUAGCUGGAAUUUUGGUGUAUGUGGUGAUUCUUUUUCUCAUUGUUCCUAUCAACCUUGCUAUUGAUGAAGCUCCCACUCGACUGCUAAACAUCAAUCAGAUGAUUCUCGUGUUUACUACUCUUGCAAUUACUUACAAACUCUAUCGAAAUAAGAGCAACGGAACAAUCCUGGACCAACUGGUGAAAGCCAAUACGAAAAAACUGAAAGAAGCUGCUGCUGCCGGAGAGUAUGAAACAUGGCAGAAUAAGUCUGAUAAACAGAUUGAAAUGGCAGAACUACUUCUUGAUGCUUUACAAGCAAUUAAGAAAUAGGAGAGAGAAGGAUUAUCGUGUAUUGUGACUGCGAAACCAUUGAAUUAGUUUAUAGAGUAGUGAAUAAUUUUUAUAGAUCUCCUAAUUUUUGUAGCAUAGCCAAGUCUCUUGUACGAGUGCUCAAUUUUUGAAACUGUACAGGUAAAUAUUAAAGUGUUUAUGAGGUGUUUCAUUAGACCUAUACCCAAA